GGGGGCGCACUGGUCUCGACCGGUUUCGCAACGACCCGGGCUGCGCGCCGGGGGUCCGAGGUCCCUGUAAUCCUCUCGGAACGGCACUAACCUGCCAAUAACUUUUCUCUCGCCGCCUAGUCUCUAGGCAGCCGUUCUCCGCGGGAGUGUCCGCGGCCUGCGGAGAACGCCAACAGCGGGCUGGUCGGCACGCCGCGCCUCUUGGCGUCCGACGAGAAACAAGGAGGCUGGCCCGCCCGAAGCCCGUCCGUGGGCGCCGGCGCGAGCGAGAACCAAACCGCGGAACACGCGCGUAGAGGCUCAGGCCGGAGUGAUUCUGGGACGCGGGUUCGAUUCCCGCCGCCUCCACCA
Molecule: transfer-messenger RNA, 351 nt
Filed under: Planctomycetota
Lineage: Bacteria; Pseudomonadati
Also listed under: 1 other name
Description: JABFRZ01 sp013140785 Standard tmRNA
Rfam family: transfer-messenger RNA
About the family: Bacterial tmRNA, also known as 10Sa RNA or SsrA, is named for its dual tRNA and mRNA-like properties. Its role is to liberate the mRNA from a stalled ribosome. To accomplish this part of the tmRNA is used as a reading frame that ends in a translation stop signal.
Source: RNAcentral